AUUGCAGGCUGCAACCCGCCUGCAUGAAGUCGGAAUUGCUAGUAAUCGUAGGUCAGCAUACUACGGUGAAUACGUUCCCGGGCCUUGUACACACCGCCCGUCAAACCAUGAGAGUUGGCAACACCCGAAGUCGGUAGUCUAACCGCAAGGAGGACGCCGCCGAAGGUGGGGUUGAUGAUUAGGGUUAAGUCGUAACAAGGUAAC
RNAcentral lists this ribosomal RNA (204 nucleotides) under uncultured bacterium. Its description in RNAcentral is "partial 16S ribosomal RNA". It matches the Rfam family "Bacterial small subunit ribosomal RNA", at positions 1297 to 1500 of the family's 1533-position model. The record is from RNAcentral.